RNAcentral lists this unclassified non-coding RNA (459 nucleotides) under Oculatellaceae cyanobacterium HA4233-MV5. RNAcentral describes it as "16S-23S ribosomal RNA intergenic spacer". Lineage: Bacteria; Bacillati; Cyanobacteriota; Cyanophyceae; Oculatellales; Oculatellaceae. The record is from RNAcentral.
UUAAGGGAGACCUACCCGCUCUACAGUUGAAAGCAAAGUGCGAAUAGACUGAGAGUUGGUCAACCUUAGGUCGAACGAGACAAAGUGUGAAGCGAAGGGCUUUCAAACUAUUUCUAGGUUUUGUUUACGUAAUUGUUUACGUAAUUGGUUUAGUCAUUUGGUUUACUCAAUCAACGAGACCAACAAACUAGACGAGCAAUGAGUAUCUAGCAAUCUGUCUAAUCUAUUGAGUUAGCUUAGAAGACCUGCUGGAUGAAGAGUCCAGAAGUGAACCUUGAAAACUGCAUAGUCACGAAAGAGAAGUCAAAGAAGAAACGACUGCAACUUGAAUUCAUGAUUAAGGGAAAGCCAAAGCGAAAGUAGAGGCAAGAGCUUGAUGAUGGGAUCAGGGAGUAGGUAGUUGUUAUUCACGGACAUCAAGCGACAAAGGUUGUGUAUCUAGCGAAGGUACAUGACUGA